RNAcentral lists this ribosomal RNA (522 nucleotides) under Triticum aestivum (bread wheat). Its description in RNAcentral is "partial small subunit ribosomal RNA". Lineage: Eukaryota; Viridiplantae; Streptophyta; Magnoliopsida; Poales; Poaceae. The record is from RNAcentral.
AUGUUUGACAAGCUCGGCCUCAAAGCGCCCGACCUCGGCGCGCUCUCUGGCGGCCACACCAUCGGCGAUGGGCACUGCAGCUCCUUCGAGAAGCGGCUCUACCCGCACCCGGACCCCUCCAUGAGCCCUUCCUUCAUUGCCAGGCUGAAGCAGACGUGCCCGGCCAAGGGCACCGUCGCCCGCACCGCGCUGGACGUGGGCACGCCCAAAGUGUUCGACAAUCAGUACUACGUCAACCUGUUGCACCGGGAGGGGCUCUUCGUGUCCGAUCAGGACCUCUUCACCAACGACAUCACCCGGCCCAUUGUCAAGGGCUUCGCACGCAGCCAGCGUGACUUCUUCAACCAGGAUAGUCAAGAUGGGCCAGAUCAAGGUUCUCACCGGUGGCCAGGGCCAGAUCCGCUGCAACUGCGCCUUCCGCAACCUCGUGCAGACCGUCGUCGAUGCCGCCGCGGAGAGCUUUGGCUUCUAGAAUCUAGUGGAGUAGUAGCUGUUAACCAUGUAUGUCGAAAUAAGAGCUGA